This 213-nucleotide long non-coding RNA is filed under the name Lathyrus oleraceus (garden pea). RNAcentral's name for it is "Pisum sativum (pea) long non-coding RNA (PSAT_LNC019222)". The record is from RNAcentral. Lineage: Eukaryota; Viridiplantae; Streptophyta; Magnoliopsida; Fabales; Fabaceae.
AUGAGAAUAAGAAGGGUAAACAUAGAGGUUCAUGCUACAAUUAUGGAAAAGUUUGUCAUUAUAAGCCGAAUUAUCCAUCGAUUAAGAAAGACAAAGAGUAAGGCCAUCACAAGAAAUCUAGCAAGUCUAAAAGAGCAUGUAUUCCUUGUGAGAGUGAAAGUGAGUCCUCAAGUGAUGAAAUUUCAAGUUCAAGUGACGAAUUAGCCAAGAUUU